GAUGAACGCUGACAGCAUGCUUAACACAUGCAAGUCAACCUGAAUGUGGGUUUUUAUCUUGGGUUUGGGUGGCGGACGGGUGAGUAACGCGUAAAGAACUCGCCUCACAGCUAGGGACAACAUUUGGAAACGAAUGCUAAUACCUAAUAUUAUGAUACUAGGGCCUCCUAUAAUUAUGAAAGCUAUAAGCGCUGUGAGAGAGCUUGGCGUCUCAUUAGCUAGUUGGAGAGGUAACGGCUCACCAAGGCGAUGAUGGGUAGCCGGCCUGAGAGGGUGAUCGGCACCAUGGGACUGGGGACAGGGCCAGUACCCUAAGGGGGGGAGACGGGGGGGAAUAUGGGCAAUGGGAGCGAGAGUCUGGUAGAGAAGUUGUGUGUGCGAGAUGGAGUUUUUCGGAAUGUAAAGUGCUUUCAGGUGAGAAGGAGCAAGUGACGGUACCAACAGAAGAAGCAACGGCUAAAUACGUG
Molecule: ribosomal RNA, 467 nt
Filed under: uncultured bacterium
Lineage: Bacteria
Description: partial 16S ribosomal RNA
Rfam family: Bacterial small subunit ribosomal RNA
Source: RNAcentral